CCCUCCUAGAAAGGAGUAUCGGUGGUUUCCUGUCCUUGGACAUGUAAGAAUUAGAGGCAAAAAUAUGUGGACUUGGAGAAGUCUAGAGCCCGCUUGCUCCCCACAGGCUCAAGCUCAUCCUUUCCCACACAG
This 132-nucleotide small nucleolar RNA is filed under the name Dasypus novemcinctus (nine-banded armadillo). RNAcentral's name for it is "Small nucleolar RNA SNORA38 (ENSDNOG00000046890.1)". It matches the Rfam family "Small nucleolar RNA SNORA38". From Rfam's summary of the family: ACA38 is a member of the H/ACA class of snoRNA that guide the sites of modification of uridines to pseudouridines. The record is from RNAcentral. Lineage: Eukaryota; Metazoa; Chordata; Mammalia; Cingulata; Dasypodidae.